GCCACCCUUCGCGCGCGGCACGGCCCGCGCGGCUUCGGCCGGCGUCGCGGCGAACGAUUCGGGGGGCGGGCGCCGUUCGGCGUCGACGGGUUGCAC
This 96-nucleotide transfer RNA is filed under the name Burkholderia pseudomultivorans. RNAcentral's name for it is "tRNA-Arg". Lineage: Bacteria; Pseudomonadati; Pseudomonadota; Betaproteobacteria; Burkholderiales; Burkholderiaceae. The record is from RNAcentral.